This 426-nucleotide unclassified non-coding RNA is filed under the name Chaetopappa effusa. RNAcentral describes it as "partial external transcribed spacer". Lineage: Eukaryota; Viridiplantae; Streptophyta; Magnoliopsida; Asterales; Asteraceae. The record is from RNAcentral.
AGUGCAUGAGUGGUGUCCGGUUUGAUACGGGUGGUCGGCUCCCUGCUUGAGCAGGCACGGCCUCGCGUGCAUUCCUUCUCAGUUGUGCGGCAAGGCAUGUAUCGUCUUUAUCGCAUAUGCGGGUUUCCUGUGUUGUGUACCUCAUCGAUGGCAUCGAACUGAUCUAAAUUCUCCUUUUUUCGUCUGGGGUUGCACCUGCAUCGCUGGAUGAACUGUGUAGCAUCGUCUUUGAUCCUUACGGUUGACGAGAAAUCGUUGGUUGUUUGGCUCGUUGGCUGUGGCUUGGUGUCUCGGAUAUGGAAGCCAAAGUAGGCAUGGGUUCGCAAGGUCCCUUUAUUGCCCUCGUUGAGCGAUCUCGCUUCUCUUACACGACAGCCUUUCGCGUAUGGCACGUCCCAGCGAGUUUGGCUAAGUCGAAGAGGAAUG